UAAAUAGUCUGGCUCACUCUUCGGGGUGCGGCUGGGACUUCUUAGAGGGACUAUCGGUGGGUAGCCGAUGGAAGUUCGAGGCAAUAACAGGUCUGUGAUGCCCUUAGAUGUUCUGGGCCGCACGCGCGCUACACUGACGCAUUCAUCGAGCUUACAACCUUGGUCGAUAGGUCUGGGUAAUCUUUGAACGUGCGUCGUGCUGGGGAUAGAUUAUUGUAAUUUUUAAUCUUCAACGAGGAAUUCCUAAUAAACGCGAGUCAUCAGCUCGCAUUGAUUACGUCCCUGCCCUUUGUACACACCGCCCGUCGCU
This 310-nucleotide ribosomal RNA is filed under the name uncultured fungus. RNAcentral describes it as "SSU rRNA". It matches the Rfam family "Eukaryotic small subunit ribosomal RNA", at positions 1352 to 1680 of the family's 1831-position model. Lineage: Eukaryota; Fungi. The record is from RNAcentral.